Molecule: ribosomal RNA, 273 nt
Filed under: uncultured bacterium
Lineage: Bacteria
Description: partial 16S ribosomal RNA
Rfam family: Bacterial small subunit ribosomal RNA
Source: RNAcentral
GACAGAGGUUGCAAACGUUGUUCGGAAUCACUGGGCAUAAAGCGCACGUAGGCGGUCUGUUAAGUCAGGUGUGAAAGCCCCCGGCUCAACCGGGGAACAGCAUUUGAUACUGGCAGACUCGAGAAUGGUAGGGGUGAGUGGAACUCCAGGUGGAGCGGUGAAAUGCGUAGAUAUCUGGAGGAACACCGGUGGCGAAAGCGGCUCACUGGACCAUCACUGACGCUGAGGUGCGAAAGCUAGGGUAGCAAACGGGAUUAGAAACCCGAGUAGUCC